UAUGGAUUGCCAUAUUCGUCAAAUGAUUUGGUUCACAGCAGUCAUUUAAAUUUUUUAUCGCCACAUUAGUUCAUUUACGUCUAAAAAGAUGCACCGACGUGUCGGCUUACUGGUUUCUGACAAGUGUCGGUGGAUUCUACCUUCAACAUGCCAUUCAGUUGGUUUCCAUUCCACAACUGUAAAGAAGGCCAUCCAUGCGAAAAAAUUUGUAUUCACCAAAAGAUUUCAGGGUCUGCCACAGUUGGACAAUUUCAGUUUAGAAAAGGAAGAUUUACCUGAGUUGAAACCUGGAGAUGUCCUCUGCAAAGCGCUUUACCUCAGUGUGGAUCCUUAUAUGAGACCUUACAGCCUUAGUUGGCCUCUUGGUACCACAAUGAAAGGUGGGCAAGUAUCGAGAGUUAUAGAAUCAAAAAAUGUGAAAUACCCUGUUGGAUCUCUUCUGGUUGGUUACUUCGGAUGGAGAACUCAUACAGUUGUCAAUCCUGAUGUUAGAUCAAAUGAUUUUAUGGAGCAGAUCACAGUUUUGCCUGAUUUAGGUACAUUAUGCCCUUCAGUUGGUUUAGGUGCGGUUGGAAUGCCUGGGAAUUCAGCAUAUUUUGGGUUUCUCGAAAUUUGUAAACCGAAACAUGGUGAUGUUGUUGUUGUGAGUGGAGCAGCAGGAGCAGUUGGAAGCUUAGUUGGACAAAUAGCCAAAAUAAAAGGUUGCCAAGUCAUUGGGUUUGCUGGGUCAGAUGAAAAAGUCAAGUGGUUGACAGAUGAGCUUGGUUUUGAUAAGGCAUACAACUACAAAACCUGUGACUGGAAAAGUUCACUGAAAGAAGGUGCACCCAAUGGUGUUGACUGCUAUUUUGAUAAUGUUGGAGGGCAAUUAAGCGUUGCCGUUCGCAGCCACAUGAACCAUUUUGGGCGCAUUUCUGUGUGCGGAGCCAUUUCGUUGUAUAAUGACACUGUACUCACUGUUGUUCCUUGUGUGGAACCUGCCGUAGUCUUCAAACAGUUGAGGAUGGAAGGUUUCCUUGUCCAUCGUUGGACUCACCGUUUUCUGGAAGGAAUGAAUCAGAUGUCAACAUGGAUUCAAGAGGGCAAGAUAAAAAUCAAAGAAACCCAUACCAAUGGUUUCGAAAACAUGCCUGCUGCCUUUAUUGAUAUGCUUAAAGGAGGAAACUUUGGAAAAGCCAUUGUCAAGGCUUAACAAGCAUUUUAUUAGUUACCACUAUAUAGGAAAAAUCUAUUACCCCCCGGAAUCCGGGGGGUAAUAGCAUUUUGGCUAUUGCCCCCCGGAAUCCAGAUGGCGCUGGCAACGGGUACCAGUGCGCCUUUUCUUUUGUAGAAUGCUUUGCAAACAGUGAUAAUAAAUAAUUUUAUAAUAGGCUAAGAAAGGUUAGGUAACGUUAAGUUAAGUUAAGUUAAUUAGGUUAGGUUAGGUUAGGUUAGGUAAGUUAAAUUAAGUUAAGUUAAUUAGGUUAGGUUAGGUUAGGUUAGGUUAGGUUAGGUUAGGUUAGGUAAGUUAAGUUAAGUUAAGUUAAGUUAAGGUUAGGUUAGGUUAGGUUAGGUUAGGUUAGGUUAGGUUAGGUUAGGUUAGGUUAGGUAAGUUAAAUUAAGUUAAGUUAAUUAGGUUAGGUUAGGUUAGGUUAGGUUAGGUUAGGUAAGUUAAAUUAAGUUAAGUUAAGUUAAGUUAAUUAGGUUAGGUUAGGUUAGGUUAGGUUAGGUUAGGUUAGGUUAGGUUAGGUAAGUUAAAUUAAGUUAAGUUAAUUAGGUUAGGUUAGGUUAGGUUAGGUUAGGUUAGGUAAGUUAAAUUAAGUUAAGUUAAUUAGGUUAGGUUAGGUUAGGUUAGGUUAGGUUAGGUUAGUUUAGUUUAGUUUAAUUUAGUUCAGUUUAGUUAGGUUACGUUAAGUUAAGUUAAUUAGGUUAGGUACCAUAGCUGUCGUGAAAAUAGCCUCGCCAGCAGUGCCAUCUGGAUUCCGGGGGGCAAUAGACAAAAUGCUAUUGCCCCCCAGAAUCCGGGGGGCAAUAGGUGUCACCCACUAUAUAUGCAGUUGUUGUUUGAUCAGUUAACAAUAAGCCAUAUGUUAGAUCAUCCAAAAUGGAAUGCACACUGAUGAUGUACACAUCUUUAAAGUAAAGCAUAAAAAUCUUCAUUUGGAAACCAGGAUCUAAAUACAUAGUGUAUUUGGAAUGUGUAAAGUAUGAAACAUCGUUGGUCUGGCAUGUCUGGCCUAAUACGACUUGUCGCGUGGACGCGAAUGGAAGUUACCGUAAAUCGAAGUGGCCAGUAGACAAUGAAGCUAACUUUCCUAGUAUGCGUCGAUCCCGCCGAACUUGUAAGUUGACACUUCGACACAUAAGAUUAGAUGAUGUUCAGUUCUAAUGACAUUCAAACCAAACUUUGUUUUGGACCAAAAUGUUAAAAAACCAAUAUUUAUCUGGUAACAAGCUACAUCCAUGUUUGUUUUCAGCAAAUAAGGAUUUUUAUCCUAUUUGCAUCAGGACUAACUGUCCUGUCAUCCUAUAUCGACAGGACUAACUGUCUAUUAAACAUUUGAAGUUGCUGUAUCAUUAAUCGUGGAUCUGGUGUGCAUUUUCUUUCUUGACUUGGUGCCAGUCAUUCCAGAAGCUCUUGUGCACACUAAGAAGGACUUUCAUGUAAUUUGAUUGAAAACGUUUCUGAUAGAGGCCAAAUACUUGAAAGGACGGAGUGUUAUUCAUCGACUUGGAUUCCUAUUCAUUAACCCUUCAAAAUUAAGUUAUCUUCUUAAAAUUGACUUGAAAGGAUUUUGAUUAUACUGGGCACAUAUCUAGAACAUGCAAUGCCGAAUGUAAUUAAUGUAUCUGCCAAGUAUGUUUUCAUUUAGUCUUCAUAUCCUUCUCGAAGCUCCUGCCAGAAAAAUUUGCUGCACUCUAAAUUUAUGAAUCUUGUAAGGAAAGCAAAAGCAAAAUAAACCUUUCAAAAGUUAUAAA
Daphnia carinata is the source of this 2958-nucleotide RNA transcript. It is a transcript of the gene named prostaglandin reductase 1-like, with no coding region annotated. The transcript is spliced from 15 exons. NCBI's taxonomy places the organism in Eukaryota, Metazoa, Arthropoda, Branchiopoda, Diplostraca, Daphniidae. The record is from RefSeq and is a predicted model, not a curated record.